UUUGAUGGCGACCGGCGCACGGGUGAGUAACACGUAUCCAACCUGCCGAUGACUCGGGGAUAGCCUUUCGAAAGAAAGAUUAAUACCCGAUGGCAUAGUUCUUCCGCAUGGUAGAACUAUUAAAGAAUUUCGGUCAUCGAUGGGGAUGCGUUCCAUUAGGCAGUUGGCGGGGUAACGGCCCACCAAACCGACGAUGGAUAGGGGUUCUGAGAGGAAGGUCCCCCACAUUGGUACUGAGACACGGACCAA
This 249-nucleotide ribosomal RNA is filed under the name uncultured bacterium. RNAcentral's name for it is "partial 16S ribosomal RNA". It matches the Rfam family "Bacterial small subunit ribosomal RNA", at positions 84 to 334 of the family's 1533-position model. The record is from RNAcentral.